CAGGCAUUUUAGAUCUAGGCCCACAGAUCAGAGGCAGCAGUCUGCUGCUGGCAGCCAGAGAAAGAUCACCUGGCUGAGCUGCUGCUUUCAUCAUCUUGGAGUCUUCUGAAGACAGAGCUGCCACACUGGAUCCUGACUGAAUCUUCUCAUCAACGUUGGCUGUCUUUGAGAGAUGGCUGCUGAGGGGAGUGGAGCAGCAGCCAAGCAGAGACGAGACUGAGCCUGCCCUUAUCUCUUCGCAGCUGCUUAUCUCAUCACAGCACCCUUCAAAAGAUCUUUUAGUACCCCAGAAUGCCCCAGCACCCUGAGAAUCAGUGUUAUAUAGUAUGAACUGAAGAUGUUUAAGAACCAGGUGGAUUUUAUUUGCCCUUUGCCAUUGAGAGAAGAUUUUGUUGUAAUUGUGAAAGAGCAGUAGCUUGACUUGUAUACAACUCACUUGUAUUCAAACUGUCUAUAAGAUCUUUUGUUUAAUGAGCUUAUGUAUGAACCAUUAGAUGCUCAGAAAAUAGAGUUGCAUCAUAACUGAGGAAAGUGAGGUGUUU
Molecule: long non-coding RNA, 542 nt
Organism: Alligator sinensis (Chinese alligator)
Lineage: Eukaryota; Metazoa; Chordata; Crocodylia; Alligatoridae
Exons: 3
Source: RefSeq, a predicted model, not a curated record